This 481-nucleotide ribosomal RNA is filed under the name uncultured bacterium. Its description in RNAcentral is "bacterial SSU rRNA". It matches the Rfam family "Bacterial small subunit ribosomal RNA", at positions 30 to 507 of the family's 1533-position model. The record is from RNAcentral.
CUGAACGCUAGCGGCAGGCUUAAUACAUGCAAGUCGAACGGUAACAGGUCUUCGGACGCUGACGAGUGGCGCACGGGUGAGGAACACGUACACAAUCUACCUUAUACUGGAGAAUAGCCCCGGGAAACUGGGGAUUAAUACUCCAUAGUCUUUAAUGAUCACAUGAGAAAUAAAGUAAAGCUUCGGCGGUAUAAGAUGAGUGUGCGUCCCAUUAGAUUGUUGGUGAGGUAACGGCUCACCAAGUCGACGAUGGGUAGCUGGCGUGAGAGCGCGACCAGCCACACUGGCACUGAGACACGGGCCAGACUCCUACGGGAGGCAGCAGUAGGGAAUAUUGGUCAAUGGACGAAAGUCUGAACCAGCCAUGCCGCGUGGAGGAUGACUGCCCUCUGGGUUGUAAACUCCUUUUAUAUGGGAAGAAACCUCUGGAUUCACUCCAGAGCUGACGGUAUCAUAUGAAUAAGCACCGGCUAACUCCGUG